GGAGGAAAAGAAACCAACAGGGAUUGCCCUAGUAACGGCGAGUGAAGCGGCAACAGCUCAAAUUUGAAAUCUGGCUCUCGGGCCCGAGUUGUAAUUUGUAGAGGAUGCUUUUGAUGCGGUGCCUUCCGAGUUCCCUGGAACGGGACGCCAUAGAGGGUGAGAGCCCCGUCUGGUUGGAUACCAAAUCUCUGUAAAGCUCCUUCGACGAGUCGAGUAGUUUGGGAAUGCUGCUCUAAAUGGGAGGUAUAUGUCUUCUAAAGCUAAAUACUGGCCAGAGACCGAUAGCGCACAAGUAGAGUGAUCGAAAGAUGAAAAGCACUUUGAAAAGAGAGUUAAAAAGUACGUGAAAUUGUUGAAAGGGAAGCGUUUAUGACCAGACUUGGGCUUGGAUAAUCAUCUGGGGUUCUCCCCAGUGCACUUUUCCAGUCCAGGCCAGCAUCAGUUUUCGCCGGGGGAUAAAGGCUUCGGGAAUGUGGCUCCCUCCGGGGAGUGUUAUAGCCCGUUGCGUAAUACCCUGGCGGGGACUGAGGUUCGCGCAUCUGCAAGGAUGCUGGCGUAAUGGUCAUCAACGACCCGUCUUGAAACACGGACCAAGGAGUCGUCUUCGUAUGCGAGUGUUCGGGUGUCAAACCCCUACGCGUAAUGAAAGUGAACGCAGGUGAGAGCUUCGGCGCAUCAUCGACCGAUCCUGAUGUUCUCGGAUGGAUUUGAGUAAGAGCAUACGGGGCCGGACCCGAAAGAAGGUGAACUAUGCCUGUGUAGGGUGAAGCCAGAGGAAACUCUGGUGGAGGCUCGCAGCGGUUCUGACGUGCAAAUCGAUCGUCAAACAUGGGCAUGGGGGCGAAAGACU
RNAcentral lists this ribosomal RNA (850 nucleotides) under Fusarium equiseti. RNAcentral's name for it is "partial large subunit ribosomal RNA". It matches the Rfam family "Eukaryotic large subunit ribosomal RNA", at positions 52 to 932 of the family's 3401-position model. The record is from RNAcentral. Lineage: Eukaryota; Fungi; Ascomycota; Sordariomycetes; Hypocreales; Nectriaceae.